AUAAUGGGUCAGCGACUUAUAUUCUGUAGCAAGGUUAACCGAAUAGGGGAGCCGAAGGGAAACCGAGUCUUAACUGGGCGUUAAGUUGCAGGGUAUAGACCCGAAACCCGGUGAUCUAGCCAUGGGCAGGUUGAAGGUUGGGUAACACUAACUGGAGGACCGAACCGACUAAUGUUGAAAAAUUAGCGGAUGACUUGUGGCUGGGGGUGAAAGGCCAAUCAAACCGGGAGAUAGCUGGUUCUCCCCGAAAGCUAUUUAGGUAGCGCCUCGUGAAUUCAUCUCCGGGGGUAGAGCACUGUUUCGGCAAGGGGGUCAUCCCGACUUACCAACCCGAUGCAAACUGCGAAUACCGGAGAAUGUUAUCACGGGAGACACACGGCGGGUGCUAACGUCCGUCGUGAAGAGGGAAACAACCCAGACCGCCAGCUAAGGUCCCAAAGUCAUGGUUAAGUGGGAAACGAUGUGGGAAGGCCCAGACAGCCAGGAUGUUGGCUUAGAAGCAGCCAUCAUUUAAAGAAAGCGUAAUAGCUCACUGGUCGAGUCGGCCUGCGCGGAAGAUGUAACGGGGCUAAACCAUGCACCGAAGCUGCGGCAGCGACGCUUAUGCGUUGUUGGGUAGGGGAGCGUUCUGUAAGCCUGUGAAGGUGUACUGUGAGGUAUGCUGGAGGUAUCAGAAGUGCGAAUGCUGACAUAAGUAACGAUAAAGCGGGUGAAAAGCCCGCUCGCCGGAAGACCAAGGGUUCCUGUCCAACGUUAAUCGGGGCAGGGUGAGUCGACCCCUAAGGCGAGGCCGAAAGGCGUAGUCGAUGGGAAACAGGUUAAUAUUCCUGUACUUGGUGUUACUGCGAAGGGGGGACGGAGAAGGCUAUGUUGGCCGGGCGACGGUUGUCCCGGUUUAAGCGUGUAGGCUGGUUUUCCAGGCAAAUCCGGAAAAUCAAGGCUGAGGCGUGAUGACGAGGCACUACGGUGCUGAAGCAACAAAUGCCCUGCUUCCAGGAAAAGCCUCUAAGCAUCAGGUAACAUCAAAUCGUACCCCAAACCGACACAGGUGGUCAGG
This 1057-nucleotide ribosomal RNA is filed under the name Escherichia coli. RNAcentral describes it as "partial 23S ribosomal RNA". It matches the Rfam family "Bacterial large subunit ribosomal RNA", at positions 612 to 1671 of the family's 2925-position model. The record is from RNAcentral. Lineage: Bacteria; Pseudomonadati; Pseudomonadota; Gammaproteobacteria; Enterobacterales; Enterobacteriaceae.